GGAGAGGUCGCCGCUGGUUAAGGCACCGGUCGGUUCGCCGGCCGCGAUGGGUAACCAUCCGAGGGUUCAAAUCCCUUCCCUCUCCGCCA
RNAcentral lists this transfer RNA (89 nucleotides) under Alloacidobacterium dinghuense. Its description in RNAcentral is "Acidobacterium sp. 4Y35 tRNA-OTHER". The record is from RNAcentral. Lineage: Bacteria; Pseudomonadati; Acidobacteriota; Terriglobia; Terriglobales; Acidobacteriaceae.